This 497-nucleotide ribosomal RNA is filed under the name uncultured bacterium. RNAcentral's name for it is "partial 16S ribosomal RNA". It matches the Rfam family "Bacterial small subunit ribosomal RNA", at positions 28 to 507 of the family's 1533-position model. The record is from RNAcentral.
GAUGAACGCUGGCGGCGUGCCUAAUACAUGCAAGUCGAGCGAACAGACGAGGAGCUUGCUCCUCUGAUGUUAGCGGCGGACGGGUGAGUAACACGUGGAUAACCUACCUAUAAGACUGGGAUAACUUCGGGAAACCGGAGCUAAUACCGGAUAACAUGUUGAACCGCAUGGUUCAACAGUGAAAGACGGUCUUGCUGUCACUUAUAGAUGGAUCCGCGCCGCAUUAGCUAGUUGGUAAGGUAACGGCUUACCAAGGCAACGAUGCGUAGCCGACCUGAGAGGGUGAUCGGCCACACUGGAACUGAGACACGGUCCAGACUCCUACGGGAGGCAGCAGUAGGGAAUCUUCCGCAAUGGGCGAAAGCCUGACGGAGCAGCGCCGCGUGAGUGAAGAAGGUCUUCGGAUCGUAAAACUCUGUUAUUAGGGAAGAACAAAUGUGUAAGUAACUAUGCACGUCUUGACGGUACCUAAUCAGAAAGCCACGGCUAACUACGUG